GACGAACGCUGGCGGCGUGCCUAAUACAUGCAAGUAGAACGCUGAAGGAGGGGCUUGCUUCUCCGGAUGAGUUGCGAACGGGUGAGUAACGCGUAGGUAACCUGCCUGGUAGCGGGGGAUAACUAUUGGAAACGAUAGCUAAUACCGCAUAACAGUAGAUAUUGCAUGAUAUCUGCUUGAAAGGUGCAAUUGCAUCACUACCAGAUGGACCUGCGUUGUAUUAGCUAGUUGGUGAGGUAACGGCUCACCAAGGCGACGAUACAUAGCCGACCUGAGAGGGUGAUCUGCCAAACUGGGACUGAGGCGCGGGCCAGGCUCCUACGGGAGGCAGCAGUAGGGAAUCUUCGGCGAUGGACGGAAGUCUGAACGAGCAACGCCGCGGGAGUGAAGAAGGUUUUCGGAUCGUAAAGCUCUGUUGUAAGAGAAGAACGAGUGUGAGAGUGGAAAGUUCACACUGUGACGGUAUCUUACCAGAAAGGGACGGCUAACUACGUG
This 495-nucleotide ribosomal RNA is filed under the name uncultured bacterium. RNAcentral's name for it is "partial 16S ribosomal RNA". It matches the Rfam family "Bacterial small subunit ribosomal RNA", at positions 28 to 507 of the family's 1533-position model. The record is from RNAcentral.